RNAcentral lists this ribosomal RNA (301 nucleotides) under uncultured bacterium. RNAcentral describes it as "partial 16S ribosomal RNA". It matches the Rfam family "Bacterial small subunit ribosomal RNA", at positions 509 to 809 of the family's 1533-position model. The record is from RNAcentral.
CAGUAGCCGCGGGAAUACAGAGGGUGCGAGCGUUAAUCGGAUUUACUGGGCGUAAAGCGUGCGUAGGCGGCUUUUUAAGUCGGAUGUGAAAUCCCUGAGCUUAACUUAGGAAUUGCAUUCGAUACUGGGAAGCUAGAGUAUGGGAGAGGAUGGUAGAAUUCCAGGUGUAGCGGUGAAAUGCGUAGAGAUCUGGAGGAAUACCGAUGGCGAAGGCAGCCAUCUGGCCUAAUACUGACGCUGAGGUACGAAAGCAUGGGGAGCAAACAGGAUUAGAUACCCCCGUAGUCCCUGUCUCUUAUAU